This 245-nucleotide ribosomal RNA is filed under the name uncultured Porphyromonadaceae bacterium. RNAcentral's name for it is "partial 16S ribosomal RNA". It matches the Rfam family "Bacterial small subunit ribosomal RNA", at positions 524 to 768 of the family's 1533-position model. The record is from RNAcentral. Lineage: Bacteria; Pseudomonadati; Bacteroidota; Bacteroidia; Bacteroidales; Porphyromonadaceae.
UACGGAGGAUGCAAGCGUUAUCCGGAUUUAUUGGGUUUAAAGGGUGCGUAGGCGGACAGACAAGCGUGAGGUGAAAUGCCACGGCUCAACCGUGGGACUGCCUCGCGAACUGCCUGUCUGGAAUGACUCUGCCGUGGGAGGAAUGUGUGGUGUAGCGGUGAAAUGCAUAGAGAUCACACAGAACACCGAUUGCGAAGGCAUCUCACGAAGGGUUGAUUGACGCUGAGGCACGAAAGCGUGGGGAU